Molecule: long non-coding RNA, 787 nt
Filed under: Cairina moschata (Muscovy duck)
Lineage: Eukaryota; Metazoa; Chordata; Aves; Anseriformes; Anatidae
Description: domestica (muscovy Duck (domestic type)) lncRNA (ENSCMMG00000001574.1)
Source: RNAcentral
UAGUCAUCUUCAUAAUGGCCAUCACUCAAAUGUGUCCGUUUUAGACUUGGGAAGAUUCUCCCAGUGGUAUUAAAUCCACUGGAGACUUUGAUUUCAGUAUCAUCUUGCAUGAAAGUUCUUAUGAAUUUCUGCUUUUCUCAGUAUUUUGAUCUUUCUUUCUCAGCUAAACUAAGAAAGGUGCCUAUCUGGGCUCUGCAAUUUGAAUACUUUUUAAAAUAAUGUGAUUCUGAUCGCAUAUCUCUCUUUUUCAAGGUGUCCUACAAUUUAAUUACUAAGAACAAGGAGGUUGUGGGGUACUUCUGUUACCUCAGAGCCCCUCCACCUCGGAACUCCUUUGCAGCAGAAUUUUCUGAUAUGAAGGUGAUUUUAGGUGUGCUACUUGGCAAGCAUGAAGUCCCCUUUUCCUUGGCUGAGGGUUCUUCACUUCCAAGAAGACUUCACCACUCAGAAGAUUGCUUUCAGACUUUACUUCCCAUCACUAUUGGAGAUGUUGUGUUUAGUGCCAGCCUGCAUGUGCUCAGGUGACAAGAAAUGCUGUGGGAGAAACCUCAGACCUUUAUAGAUUCAGUGAGAUAUGAGAGUAUGUUUUGAGGAUUGUGGGCUUGAAAUAACCAGCCUAUCCAUCUUGCAAGACCACUUAUCCAACCUGUACCUUGCCUGUUCACCUUGGAGAAGGUUGUGGGAAACAACAUCAAGCACUUUGCUGAAGUUCAGAUCCUGUGAAAAAUCAAGAAGUCUUUCCAGACAACCUAUUAUUCUUAAAGUUUACAUAUACCACAUUGAAUAG